RNAcentral lists this ribosomal RNA (497 nucleotides) under uncultured bacterium. Its description in RNAcentral is "partial 16S ribosomal RNA". It matches the Rfam family "Bacterial small subunit ribosomal RNA", at positions 28 to 507 of the family's 1533-position model. The record is from RNAcentral.
GAUGAACGCUGGCGGCGUGCCUAAUACAUGCAAGUCGAGCGAACAGAUAAGGAGCUUGCUCCUUUGACGUUAGCGGCGGACGGGUGAGUAACACGUGGGUAACCUACCUAUAAGACUGGGAUAACUUCGGGAAACCGGAGCUAAUACCGGAUAACAUUUGGAACCGCAUGGUUCUAAAGUGAAAGAUGUUUUUGCUAUCACUUAUAGAUGGACCCGCGCCGUAUUAGCUAGUUGGUAAGGUAACGGCUUACCAAGGCGACGAUACGUAGCCGACCUGAGAGGGGGAUCGGACACACUGGAAGUGAGACACGGUCCAGACUCCUACGGGAGGCAGCAGUAGGGAAUCUUCCGCAAUGGGCGAAAGCCUGACGGAGCAACGCCGCGUGAGUGAUGAAGGGUUUAGGAUCGUAAAACUCUGUUAUUAGGGAAGAACAAAUGUGUAAGUAACUGUGCACGUCUUGACGGUACCUAAUCAGAAAGCCACGGCUAACUACGUG